This 350-nucleotide ribosomal RNA is filed under the name uncultured bacterium. RNAcentral's name for it is "bacterial SSU rRNA". It matches the Rfam family "Bacterial small subunit ribosomal RNA", at positions 917 to 1269 of the family's 1533-position model. The record is from RNAcentral.
GGACCCGCACAAGCAGUGGAGCAUGUGGUUUAAUUCGACGCAACGCGAAGAACCUUACCAGGGUUUGACAUCCUGCGAAUCUCUUGGAAACGAGAGAGUGCCUUCGGGAACGCAGUGACAGGUGGUGCAUGGCUGUCGUCAGCUCGUGUCGUGAGAUGUUGGUUAAGUCCCGCAACGAGCGCAACCCACGUCGUUAGUUGCCAGCAUUUAGUUGGGCACUCUAGCGAGACCGCCGGUGAUAAACCGGAGGAAGGUGUGGAUGACGUCAAGUCAUCAUGCCCCUUACAUCCUGGGCUACACACGUACUACAAUGCUACGGACAAAGGGCAGCAAGUUCGCGAGGACAAGCA